UCCAUCUGAAAAUCACAGAGUUAAUAAUUACAGUCUAAGCUGAUAAAACCCUGCUCUGCAUCACGGCCAUUUUCUCUCUGGAGUGCGGUUUCCCAGGAAAAUAACAAAGCAACUUCACGAGUGCAUCAGGCAGGGAUUUUAAGUUUAGCCAAUGCAGUUUCCUUUCCAGGCUGCAUGAAUCACCUCCACCCCCUGGGGCCCGGCCUGCUGCCACAGAGCCGCCCUGACGGAUACUAGCCAGCUGUCCUCCCAAGCCUCCCGCUGGGCGCUAUACCUUCCCCUGUGCUGCGAGCAUCCAGCAUCCAGCAAGGAAUAAACUGUAUCCUCCUGCCUCAGCCGGAUAAACCGGAUAAACCGGAUAAACCGGAUAAACCGGCAGAGCUGUGGGCCACUUACCUGCACAGUGGAGCUGUCCGGUGACCUCCCUCUGAGCUGCCCAGGGCCAUGCUCUCCGGGUUGACGGAGGAGGCAGGUUUUCACACCUCCAGGGCUUAUGCUGCCUUCUGCCCAGGGCCAUAUGGGGAGGCAGAAGGCCUCCCUGCACUGGGCACAAGACCCAUAGCCACGGCCCCAGCACCCCACCACAGGACUGGGUGGAUCCCCAGUGGAGAGGCCAGGGCUUUACAUGUCAAAUGAACAGCAAGGGAGCCUUCGGGAGGCUGAAUAGAUGUCCAGGGACCCAGAGCCCAGGCCUGAAGUCCCGGUUUCUUUCUCAUUGCUGUCCCUGCAGUCACAUAGCUGACCCCUGCUCUGCACUCGGUGACACCAAGACAAGGGGAGAGGAGUGUCCAGGUGUCUUCCAAGAGCACCUGAGACAGAGACUUUCCCGUUGAUAGAGACCCCUCCACUGCUGCCAAGGAACAAUGAUGGAGCCCGGUGAGCGCGGGAGCGACCCCAGGCAGCCGAGCGACUGCAAGUCAGAGUGCGGUUCCAGGAAGCAGAGUGAGAGGAGAGGGGACACCAGGAUACGUACCCUCCCAGGACUGGCUCCAGGGACCCUCCUCCUCCGGCCACAGGCACCUGCUAUGGUCACCACGUCAUUCGAACCAGGAUGCACGAUUAGGUCACAGCUCUCGAAAUCUCAUCCCUGUGUUUCUGAACAUUCCUGCAUUAGCGCAGGAGAUUUGGGGGGACAUUCACAUCCAAACCAUAAGAGGGGUCACAGGCUUCUGACACCCGGCCGCUCUCACCCCUUCAUUCUGUGCCUGAAGAAACCAAAGCCAGGGAAUGACUUCCCCAAGCCCCGCGGCAGGUCAGGAGUGGAGGUAGAGCACACAGGCCCCUGACCACAGGGAAGGGGAGCUCCUGCCACAGGGCUGGCCACAGCCCAGGGCUGGCCAUGCAGGACCAACGCUCUGGCUCCUGCCCUGGUGUGGGCGUUUCCCGGGUGCCUUCCUGGUCUGGGGUGGCUGCAGCUUCCCUGGGUGGAGCUGGACAUGGGCUGGGGAUGGUCUGGUGUGGCAGGAGCUCUGGGACAGGAGCUCAGAAGUGGGAGCAAACUGAUUCUAAAGAUCUUGAAGAAGGAAGGAGGAAAACUGCCAUUCUUUACCUUCAGGCUGAAGCCCCUGUCAGGGACAGAGCAGAAUUCAACAAAGUGUGAGACUGUGAUGGAAACACACGUUUUGCUCUCAGUUUGGUCAACAUCACAGGUGCUUGGAAAGGGACGCCCUUCGUCUGUGACCCGGAGAGCACUGAGUCUAACAGGUCAGCACCUGACUUCCUCACUGGCUUCUCCACGCAGGUUUUCAAAUACAUUUGCUCCCAGGACCCAAGCAGAAGAGAUGAGUUGAGACCACCAAGCAGUUAGAUCAAUGGUUGAGUUGUCUGUGCAUCAGCCUGAGCUAUGCCCAGGAAAAUUCAAUGUCAGUUUUGUGCCCCAGAAAAUGGAGGUGGAGGACCUAGCCAUAGAGCAUAGCUCACCCAGAAGGACUGGGUCAGGUGCAUGGAGGUGGACAGUAUCUCCCAGUCACCAGCCUAAGACCUCCAAGGUCAGGAGGACAGCCAGGGCCAGCUGACCUGGGUGCAACCUCCGAGAUCAGGGAUGCUCAGAGACACUGAGGGAAUGCGGCCCAGGGUGGUGUGGGCUCUUGGACACUCAGCCUGCUUGUUUUCUUAUAUCAGUUAAGCACCUACUGUGUGCCAGUUCCUGCUGUAGGGGGUGAUAGAAACAACACUCGCCCUCUCUCUGCUUCUCGAGCACCCUGUGAGCUGCUUCCCUCUGCCACACUCUCUCGCCAUGAUGUUCAGCCUCCGUGAGCCCUGUGGAAUGGAGCUGGCCUUCUAUGGACUAAGGCCUCUGAAACCCACUUUAACCUGAAACUGCUCUCAGAUGUCUUCCCACCACAUGAAGACUCUGAGUGAAGUCCGCACGGAAGAGAACAGAGUUGAGAGAUGAGAAGUUCUCGACUCCCAGAAACUACCUUUUAGGGCCACAGUGGGGCCACAGUGGGGCAGCUUCUUUGCUAUCCAUCGUUGCUCUAGGACAUCUUGAUUGCUUCUACCAGCCCCAGCACUGAGUGGAGCUGCUGUAGAGGAGAGUGGAGGUGACACAAGCUGUCUUGGAGAAUCAGUGUGCAUGUCCUCACAUUCCACACCGACAGCUGCUUCCUUCCAGACUCAGAAUACCUGCAGCAUGGAGUGUCACCAAGCGCGAAGGAAGACAUUCUGGAAGGUAUGAAGAGAAAACAGCCACACAGUCAAGCAUAGAGGUCUUUGUGGGG
Molecule: long non-coding RNA, 2720 nt
Filed under: Marmota monax (woodchuck)
Lineage: Eukaryota; Metazoa; Chordata; Mammalia; Rodentia; Sciuridae
Source: RNAcentral